RNAcentral lists this ribosomal RNA (461 nucleotides) under uncultured bacterium. RNAcentral's name for it is "SSU rRNA". It matches the Rfam family "Bacterial small subunit ribosomal RNA", at positions 26 to 518 of the family's 1533-position model. The record is from RNAcentral.
AGAAUCAACGCUGGCGGCGUGCCUAACACAUGCAAGUCGAACGAGAAAGUGGUAGCAAUACCAUGAGUAAAGUGGCGCACGGGUGAGUAACACGUGACUAACCUACCCUGGAGUGGGGGAUAACUGGGAGAAAUCCUAGCUAAUACCGCAUAAUACCUACGGGUCAAAGGAGCAAUUCGCUUCAGGAGGGGGUCGCGGCCGAUUAGUUAGUUGGCGGGGUAAUGGCCCACCAAGACGAUGAUCGGUAUCCGGCCUGAGAGGGCGCACGGACACACUGGAACUGAAACACGGUCCAGACUCCUACGGGAGGCAGCAGUGGGAAUUUUGCGCAAUGGGGGAAACCCUGACGCAGCAACGCCGCGUGGAGGAUGAAGUCCUUCGGGACGUAAACUCCUUUCGAUCGGGACGAUUAUGACGGUACCGGAAGAAGAAGCCCCGGCUAACUUCGUGCCAGCAGCCGC